This 109-nucleotide non-coding RNA is filed under the name Pseudothermotoga lettingae. RNAcentral's name for it is "Thermotoga lettingae TPP sequence". It matches the Rfam family "TPP riboswitch aptamer (THI element)". Rfam says of the family: Vitamin B(1) in its active form thiamin pyrophosphate (TPP) is an essential coenzyme that is synthesised by coupling of pyrimidine and thiazole moieties in bacteria. The previously detected thiamin-regulatory element, thi box was extended, resulting in a new, highly conserved RNA secondary structure, the THI element, which is widely distributed in eubacteria and also occurs in some archaea. RNAcentral also lists the same sequence under 1 other name. The record is from RNAcentral. Lineage: Bacteria; Thermotogati; Thermotogota; Thermotogae; Thermotogales; Thermotogaceae.
AUAUUUGUGCAGGGGAGCUUCUAACCCGAGGCUGAGAGGAGGACGGAAGUCCUCGACCCUUGAACCUGAUCCGGGUAAUGCCGGCGUAGGGAGCAAACCAAAAACAAAA